RNAcentral lists this ribosomal RNA (502 nucleotides) under uncultured bacterium. Its description in RNAcentral is "SSU rRNA". It matches the Rfam family "Bacterial small subunit ribosomal RNA", at positions 26 to 523 of the family's 1533-position model. The record is from RNAcentral.
AGAUUGAACGCUGGCGGCGUGCCUAACACAUGCAAGUCGAGCGGUAACAGGUGUAGCAAUACAUGCUGACGAGCGGCGAACGGGUGAGUAAUGCUUUGGAAUCUUCCCAGUAGUGGGGAAUAACCAGUCGAAAGAUUGGCUAAUACCGCAUACGUCUGUAAAGGGAAAGCGGGGGCUCGUAAGACCUCGCGCUAUUGGAUGAGCCAAAGUCGGAUUAGCUAGUUGGUGGGGUAAUGGCCUACCAAGGCGACAAUCCGUAGCUGGUCUGAGAGGACGACCAGCCACACCGGAACUGAGACACGGUCCGGACUCCUACGGGAGGCAGCAGUGGGGAAUAUUGGACAAUGGGGGAAACCCUGAUCCAGCGACGCCGCGUGUGUGAAGAAGGCCUGCGGGUUGUAAAGCACUUUUAGUGGGGACAAAAGCUACGGAUUAAUACUCUGUGGUCUUGAUUUAACCCAAAGAAAAGCACCGGCUAACUCUGUGCCAGCAGCCGCGGUAA